UACGUAGGGCGCAAGCGUUGUCCGGAUUCACUGGGUGUAAAGGGUGCGUAGGCGGGAGAGUAAGUCCGCGGUGAAAUCUCACGGCUUAACCGUGAAACUGCCGUUGAUACUGCUUUUCUUGAGUUCGGGAGAGGUUGAUGGAAUUCCAGGUGUAGCGGUGAAAUGCGUAGAGAUGUGGAGGAACACCGAUGGCGAAGGCAGCCCCCUGGGCUAACACUGACGCUCAUGCACGAAAGCGUGGGGAGCAAACAGG
RNAcentral lists this ribosomal RNA (253 nucleotides) under uncultured bacterium. Its description in RNAcentral is "partial 16S ribosomal RNA". It matches the Rfam family "Bacterial small subunit ribosomal RNA", at positions 524 to 776 of the family's 1533-position model. The record is from RNAcentral.